GAUGAACGCUGGCGGCGUGCCUAAUACAUGCAAGUCGAGCGAACGGACGAGAAGCUUGCUUUUCUGAUGUUAGCGGCGGACGGGUGAGUAACACGUGGAUAACCUACCUAUAAGACUGGGAUAACUUCGGGAAACCGGAGCUAAUACCGGAUAAUAUUUUGAACCGCAUGGUUCAAAAGUGAAAGACAGUCUUGCUGUCACUUAUAGAUGGAUCCGCGCUGCAUUAGCUAGUUGGUAAGGUAACGGCUUACCAAGGCAACGAUGCAUAGCCGACCUGAGAGGGUGAUCGGCCACACUGGAACUGAGACACGGUCCAGACUCCUACGGGAGGCAGCAGUAGGGAAUCUUCCGCAAAGGGCGAAAGCCUGACGGAGCAACGCCGCGUGAGUGAUGAAGGUCUUCGGAUCGUAAAACUCUGUUAUUAGGGAAGAACAUAUGUGUAAGUAACUGUGCACAUCUUGACGGUACCUAAUCAGAAAGCCACGGCUAACUACGUG
Molecule: ribosomal RNA, 497 nt
Filed under: uncultured bacterium
Lineage: Bacteria
Description: partial 16S ribosomal RNA
Rfam family: Bacterial small subunit ribosomal RNA
Source: RNAcentral